CGGGGCCAUGUAAAGAUGGAGGCAGAGAUUGGAGUAAUGUGGCCACAAGCCAAGAAAUGCCAAGGAUUGCUGAAGCCACCGGAAGCUGGGGGAGGCAGGGGAUGGAGGCUGCUUUCUCAGAGCCUCCAGAAGGAACCAACCCAGCCAAUACCUUCAUUUUGGACUUCAGGCCUCCAGAACUGUGAGAAAACAAACUUCUGUUGUUUGAAGCCACCCAGUUUGUGGUGACUUGCUAUGGCAGCCCUAGGAAUCUAUUUCAUCCUAAGAGAGAGGGAAAGGACAAGAGGAGGAGGAGGGAGGGCAAGGGAAGAAAGCAAAAGUGAAAGCAGGAAGGAAGAGGAGAGAGAAAAUCGAAGCAGAGGCACAGAGAGAGCCAAUAUUUUCAAAGCCCUCCUUCUGUGCCAGGUGCAGUACCAAGUGCUGUACAGGCAUUGUCUUCGCGGAUGCACCUGCUGCGACCUCACAUUAAAAGGAGAAACGGACGCUGAUCAGGGAGGAAAAGACCCUGCCCGAGGACCCUGGAAGGUGAGAGCCAGGCUCAGAAUGUGACCCCAAGGGCUGCCCUUUACCCCCUGUGCUCUGCUGCCUCUCUGUGUGCAUGCCUUGAAUGAGGAUGAUCCUCGACUCCAAUGUGUUUCCACAUACUCAAUUGUUAGUGAAAUAACAGAUUUUUAUAAGCUGUUAGCUGGGAAAAUGAGGAACUGAAUGGUUCUUCCCUGGGCUUCUCAGCCCCAGGAGUUCUCUUCCGUUCAUAGCAACUACACCCAGCUGUCUCCAUGAGGAGCGCUAAGGAGGGGUGAAGGGAAACAGUGGGAAGGAGGAGGUUUAAAUGCACUCUGAUGGGAAUGUCUGGGAAACAAAGCCCAGGCAUGAGCUUACUUCUUUACUUCCUUUCUGCUCUUCCCCCGGACUUUUUUGGGUCUGUAUUAGAGCUCAUCCCAGUUGCCCUGAGUCUCCCUGCCAACCUGGGACACCCCCAUCCCAGCCUUGCCCAGGCUGCCAUUAGCGUCACAGAUGGUGUGGGGCCCUGGGAGAGUCAACUUCCCCUCUCUGGGCCUCACUGUCCUCAUCUCACAAAUCAAGACAAUAAUAAUAUCUACCUUAAAAUCAUACCUUAAAUAUGUGCAGUGUACCGUAUGUCAAGUACACUUUAAUCAAGAGGUUUUCAAAAGCACAGCACUCUGUGGUUUAGGGGUGCCUGCUUAGGUGUCUUCAACAAAGCAAGGAAGCUAUUACCAACUGGGAGGGAAGAGGUGGUGGCCUGGACAGGAUGUGAGGCCCCUGGGAUAUGGACAACUUACCUGGACCUGGGCAGUGAGGAAGCAGAUGUUAGUUGAUAA
This 1340-nucleotide long non-coding RNA is filed under the name Homo sapiens (human). Its description in RNAcentral is "HSALNT0056147". Lineage: Eukaryota; Metazoa; Chordata; Mammalia; Primates; Hominidae. The record is from RNAcentral.